GGACAGACUGCCAACGGCCAUUUGAAACUGUCAUGUCCGUCGUGUCGCCGUCUCUCUUACCCACAAAACCCGCCAAAAACGGCAACCGUUUCAGCUUAGCCCCUCCCCAACCUUGCCUCUUUCUAUUAGAAAUAUGCAAGUAUACCUCCGAGUUCAAGCAAGUCCAAGCCAAGCUCACCAAGCUCGGCCUAAUUAGCCACCCACUAGCCCUCACCAGGCUCUUGUGCUAUUCCUCAAUCUCUCGCUAUGCUGACAUUCACUAUGCUCAAUCAAUCUUUAAUCUUGACAAAAACCCAAAUACAUUUGCAUAUAAUGUGCUGAUUAGAGGCUAUGCUCGGAGUGAAAAGCCCGAAAUGGCCAUUUCUUUGUUUUAUAGUAUGCUUUGUAAUGUCAAUUCUGUGCCAAAUCAAUUUACUUUUCCUUUUGUUUUGAAAUCAUGUUCUCAAGUUAAAGCCAUUCAGGAGGGUAAACAGGUUCAUGGGCUGGUUGUCAAACACGGUUUGAGCCAAGAUCUUUUUGUACAAAACAGUUUGAUCACCUUCUACGCGGCUUGUGGGGUAAUUGGUUCUGCUUGCAAAGUGUUUGAUAAAAUAGAUGGCCCGGAUGUUGUUUCAUGGAAUUCGGUAAUUGGGGGUUUGGUGGACUCAGGUUUUGUUGAGGAGGCAAGGUGGACGUUUGAUAGAAUGCCAGAGAGGAGUUUGGUUACUUGGAAUUGUUUGAUUGAUGGGUAUAUUAAGAUAGGGCUGCUUAAGGAGGCUAGAAAAUUGUUUGAUCAAAUGGAAGGGAGGGAUUCGGUUUCUUGGAAUACUAUGAUUGGUGGGUAUGUUGGCUCUGGUCUAAUGGGAGAUGCUGAAGUAUUGUUCGGUGAGAUGCCACUAGAGAUCAAGGAUUUGAUCACUUUUAACUUGAUGAUUGAUGGGUAUGCAAGAGAUCGUAGAUACAGCGAGGUACUGGAGGUACUUGAAGAUGUGAAGGAGGCAAAAGCAAAAAUGAAUGAGUUUACAAUAGUAAGCGUGCUUACUGCUUGUUCCCAUUUGGCGGAAUUGGAUCAAGGUGAAUGGAUUCAAACUUACAUAAAGGAAAAUCGGAUUGAAGUGGAUGCUGUCCUGGGAACUGCUUUGGUUAAUAUGUUUGCAAAAUGUGGAAACAUGGGGAGGGCUCUUUCUGUGUUUGAAAGUAUGGAGGAGAGGAAUGUUGAGGCAUGGAAUUCAAUAAUUCACAAUCUUGGUGUUCAUGGUUAUGGCGAAGAAGCAUUAGCAAUGUUUUCAGACAUGUUGAGGACCAAUAUUCCACCAGAUGAAAUAACGUUUCUUUGUUUAUUAAGUGCAUGUCGCCAUUCCGGGCUUGUUGCUGAAGGGAAAAAAUAUUUUCAACUAAUGAGCGAAAAAUAUGGCCUGGCACCAAAGAUCGAGCACUAUGGUUGCAUGGUAGACCUUCUCUGCCGUGCAGAUCUUUUGGAAGAAGCAAGAUGCUUGAUUGAAACUUCGCAGAUGAUGUCCAGUGUUCCCAUGUGGGGUGCUCUUCUGGGAGCCUCAUACAGGCUUGGGAAUCUGGUGAUGGGAGAAUAUGCUGCAAAACAUCUCAUAGAAUUGAACCCCUUUGAUGGGAGCUGUUACAUAGUUCUAUCCAACAUGUACUCGGCCGCUGGCUUUUAUGAGAAAUCCAUAGAGGUUAGGAAAAUGAUGAGGGACCAAGGACUAGAUAAAGUCCCCGGCACCAGUUCUAUAGAAAUAGACGGCGUAGUUCACGAAUUUAGAGUCAGCUCCAAUUGUCCUGAAAUAAGUUAGUUGUGUACUUGGACCUUCUGCAUAGACCCUGGUCAGGCUUUAUCAUAUUUGACAAAACCAAAUUACAUGUUUUGCCAAAAUGAGUAGCCAAAGAAAAUGUAAAAAUGAAAUUUACAUAAGGGAAUAUAUAUGUAACGACCCAAUCUAUGGGCCGGAUCGGCAAUAAGACUUGGGUCAGCUUAAAGCCCCCGAGACCCGUAGUAA
Molecule: unclassified non-coding RNA, 1991 nt
Filed under: Hevea brasiliensis (rubber tree)
Lineage: Eukaryota; Viridiplantae; Streptophyta; Magnoliopsida; Malpighiales; Euphorbiaceae
Source: RNAcentral